Molecule: long non-coding RNA, 1020 nt
Organism: Amphiprion ocellaris (clown anemonefish)
Lineage: Eukaryota; Metazoa; Chordata; Actinopteri; Pomacentridae
Source: Ensembl
CAGUAACCUAUUACAUUUCAAAAGUUACCUUCUCUAUACUGACCGUGACAAUCAGCAAUAACACCUCUUUGUACCGUACAUGUGUUGUUAUUUUGUCUGACAGCUCGUGUUGUGGUGAACCUGAGGGUUGUCAGUCUGGUGGAGAGCGUGGCCUUCCAAAGCUCCUCCUACAACUUCAGUUUACCUGAGAACCUGCCAGUGGGGGCGACGGUGGGAAAGGUCUGGGCCUCCUCAGGAAGCAACCUUUACGACGUGGCCUACGCACUGAAAACGUACACUGACCUGUUCUCCAUCGACACCAGUGGAGCCAUCCUGACUACUGCACAGCUGGACAAAGAAAAGCAGGAGUGGUACAUCCUGGACGUGGAGGCUGUGGACACACGGACUCCCCCUACAACAGCAAUGGCAACGGUCAGUGUUCAGGUGGAGGAUGUAAAUGAGCCUCCAUACUUUCCCCCUGAGGUUUAUGAAGCCUCUGUGUUAAGCAUUGCCCCGUAUAAAACUCCUGUCAUCACCGUCAAGGCUUCAGACCCUGAUGUUGGAGAGGAGGGUCAGCUGAUCUACAGUCUGUCAGCUGGCAGCUCAUACUUUGACGUGGAGGCUUCCUCAGGUCAGGUGUACGUGGUGUCAGCAGCAGAUGUGGAUGGAGACACAGUAACAGUGGAGGUGAAGGCCACAGACCCCCAAGGACUUUUCGCUACGGUCACGGUGAAGGUGGUGGUUCAGGGAAGUGCGAGCAGCAAUGACGUGGUGACCAUCUCACUCAAUCAGCCUGCUAAUACUGUGGAGAAUAAAAUUCCAGAAUUGGAGAAUGCUUUAGGUAAAGCUCUGGGCUGGACAGUGAACAUCAUCCAGGUGUCCAAUGCUAACAGAGGAGCCACUAAGUCCCGAAUGCUGAGAAACUCUGUGAAGACUUUGGUCAGCUUCAUCACCGAAGAAAAUGGAGAGACAGUUUCCUCUCAAAAAGUCAUAAAGUAAGAGUUUGAGUUUUUAAGUCAUGUCUGAGGCCUGGGUGAAGUG